GAGUGGACAGAAGUAUUGGAACACUGGUGGUGGCCAAGAACAAAUCCUUCUUCCUCUGCAUUUAGAACAAGACAGCAAAUAUGGUUUCAUUUCUUUUCAUGACAGAAGAACAGAUUUCUCAUCACAAAAUUUUCCUUUUUCUCUUGGAACUAGUAAAUAGCAAACUUGCUCUGGACUUAAAACGGCUCAAAAAGAGACAGCUGUCAUUUUCAGUUAGUGAAACGAACACCAUUUCUUAAAGAGAGGACAGAACAUACCAUUUUCCAGUGCUAAAUAAGAAGGAAAUGGAAGAGCCUAGCAAAAUAUCCAUCACAAUAAGAAUAUAAAUGAUGCUUGUUGACUGACUGAUGGUAUCAUGUGGAGGGAAGAAGGAAGAAGGGAAGACAUUAUCAUAAAGCCAAGCCAUUUAGGGGCACCUUUGACAUUUUUCUGGGACUUCUUACAGAAUAGAUAUUGGAGUAGUUUGCCAUUUCCUUCUCC
Phascolarctos cinereus (koala) is the source of this 480-nucleotide long non-coding RNA. RefSeq lists it as uncharacterized. Lineage: Eukaryota; Metazoa; Chordata; Mammalia; Diprotodontia; Phascolarctidae. The record is from RefSeq and is a predicted model, not a curated record.